RNAcentral lists this ribosomal RNA (428 nucleotides) under uncultured bacterium. RNAcentral's name for it is "bacterial SSU rRNA". It matches the Rfam family "Bacterial small subunit ribosomal RNA", at positions 355 to 774 of the family's 1533-position model. The record is from RNAcentral.
UAGGGAAUCUUGCGCAAUGGGGGAAACCCUGACGCAGCAACGCCGCGUGGGUGAGGAAGGCCUUCGGGUUGUAAAACCCUGUCAUGAGGGACAAAGGGUCGCGUCUCUAAUAGACUCGCGAUUUGAUGGUACCUCAAGAGGAAGCACCGGCUAACUUCGUGCCAGCAGCCGCGGUAAUACGAAGGGUGCUAGCGUUGUUCGGAAUUAUUGGGCGUAAAGGGCGUGCAGGCGGUUUCGCAAGUCAGCUGUGAAAGCCCAGGGCUUAACCCUGGAAGUGCGGUUGAAACUGCGAAACUAGAGUCCCAGAGGGGAGAACGGAAUUCCGCAUGUAGAGGUGAAAUUCGUAGAGAUGCGGAGGAACAUCAGUGGCGAAGGCGGUUCUCUGGAUGGUGACUGACGCUGAGACGCGAAAGCGUGGGGAGCAAACA